AUCCCUACGCCGCUCAAGGGAAAAAUAUCCCACGCCGUCCUCCCUGCUGAUUUUUCUACCGUGCGCGCGCAUCCUUAUCGAUCGUCAGAUUUUUUUGAGCGCCCGUUUCUUAUCUCCAGCCGGCCGGUGCUCAUUCCCAGGACAUCGUCUUCUCCACGCUUCUCCUCAUCGUACGCAGAUUCUUGGCCGUGGGAGCUCCCCACGCCAUCUCCCAUGGCGCUUGGCCUCCCAGCCCCUCCCCAGCCGCGAGCUCGCCGAGCUCUCCCUCUCCCCAUGGCCACGCCGCGCCCUGCUCCCUCUGUCUUCCCUGGCGCGCGCUGGUCGUUCCUACCAAUUUCCUUGGCCUCGCUCGGUACUUCUCUGGUCGUCCUUACUCCUGCUCUCUGCUCAAGCACGCCGGCCGCCAGAUCUUCACCGCCCUGCUCCAUGGCGCGCCCUCCCGUUUUCUGCUCGCUCGCGCACGGCUCAGAGCCCCCUGGUGGUCGCGCGUCUUCUCCCAGCCAGCCGAGUAGUUCGCCGAGCUCCCUCCCUAGCGGUCCCUGGCUCCAGCUCGGCCGGCCCUGUUCCCCAUGGUCGCCGGCUGCUUGACCCCAGCUCCUUGCCGUCGCACCCCUAUUCCUCCAUGGCCGCGAGCUCCCUCUGCUGUCUGCUUCGCCGCGCGCCAAGCCCCCAGCCGAGGUCUCCUCCCUGCCGAGUCCCAGCCGAACUCCUCCGUACAGCGCCCUGUCGAGGCUUCCCGUUCCUGCGCGCCGUCGCCUUGCUGCUCGCCUUGCGUGCGCGGUCCUCUGUCCCUGCGCGUAGCCGGUUUCUCGGUUCGCCGUGGAGCCUGCGCGCUCGGUUCUGUCCAGUUCAUGUCCCGCUCGGCCGUCCGCGCGACACGUCAUCCAUGGCCGCUGUCCGUCGUCGAGUCCCUACGUGCGCACCAGCUCCCUGUGUCGCGUUCCAUUCACCUAAACCGGAGUUCGCCAGCCGUCCAUACUUGCCGGUGUGCUGCUGCUCUAGUUCGGAUCUCGCCCAAGUCGCUGCCAUGGUUAUCCGGUGUUUGGCCCGCGCCGAUUCGCGUUCGCUCAUAUCGCCAUCAUAGUGUUGUCGCUGGUGAUAGGCUUCGCGUGCGUGUCAAACUCCCGCGUCGAGUCUUUUUCCUGCUCGCCGGUGCGUCCUCUCGGCUCGCUUGGCCUUAAUUCUCAUCGCGUCAUCGAUUCCGCUGGUCAGCGUCGUUCGUCAUCGUGUCGCGUGUGUAGCUCUAUAUACGUCACCCUCCUGUGUCGUCGUUGUUCCGUGCGUCAUCAAGAAAUUCCAAGAAUCGAGUGAAGACGAAGCCAGCAGCGUGAUAUUCACCAAGUGCGCGACCAAAAAGCUCGGACAUCCUGCGCGACUCAAGUUCAAUUCAUCGAAAUUAUUCAAUCGAAGAAAAGAUCUUCAGCAAUUAAUUACCGAAGAAAAGAAGGCUCCUGGAUGACAUCAACCGGAACCCGUAGUCAUGCUUGCGACUAUCGCGUCGAAUUAGUCAGGGUAAGUUGGUUCGUAUUCCCAUUAACUAGGUCUAUAAAUAGAUUAAAUAGAAUUGUUGGUCACAAUAAAUAUUAUUAAUUUAGCAUGCGUAUAUUGUGAUGAUUGAUUUAGAUAGCUCGCUAAAUCAACUAAUUAAGUUACACAGUUUAGAGAGUUAAUAAAAAGCUAAGAAUAAAAAUAGAUUUUCUAGUGUAAUAUGUCAAUUUGAUUAAUGGAUAUAGUCGCUGUCCUGCUGUGAUAUCCAUGGUGCUUAAUGCUUGGUUUUAAGUGUUUCAUGCUUUUUAGCGUAGAUUAUCUAUAUUAUACUCGUUAUACAUGUGCUCAUACAUGUGCAUCAUGCAUCUCAUGAGGUACGAUAAAUAAUCGCGUGAUGCGGAAGAAGAACCAAGCCGACCCCAAGCGUGGGCUAAUCUGCAAGCUGAAGCUGAUGAAUCAACCUGAAGACGGUUAAAUCAAGCAAGUGCUCGGUCGAAGGAUACUCGUCAAGCGGACGUCACCUAACAACACUAACCUAGUGUUACUCAGGUUCUAACUUUGUGCUGUUGUUGAUGGUGUUAAGUGCCGGUGGGCUCGGCCUUCUUAUAAGUCUAAGUACUCCUUCUAUACUUCUUACUGAGGAUGGUCAUUUGAGCUAGCAUAUAUUUCAAACUUAUACUUUUAUAAUCACUCCGAUAAAAUAAUGUAAAAUUUUUGUAACUUGUAAAAUUUGGUAAUAAGAUUUCCGCUGCAAAAAUGUUGUGUGUGUGAUUUGUAUUACUUAAUCCCGCGGUUCUGG
Molecule: unclassified non-coding RNA, 2287 nt
Filed under: Zea mays
Lineage: Eukaryota; Viridiplantae; Streptophyta; Magnoliopsida; Poales; Poaceae
Description: misc RNA Zm00001eb407620
Source: RNAcentral